UAAAACCAAACAUGGCCCUUGCUCUCUCUCCAUCACCCUCCUUGCCCCAUGCACACGUUAGCCAAACCUUCCCUCCCAUGUCUAUCCUACGCCGCAUUUCAUUACUUAACCUAAAACCCCAACGACGCCACCUCGCCACCCUCGCCGCCGCCGCCGUACGCCAAGACACCACUGUCUGGACACCCGCCCCGCUCGUCGAGAUCUCUCCCGCUGCUGAGUCGCUCUUCCACAUAUCUAUCGACAUCUCCGACGCACCCGACAUCGGGUCUUCCCACACACGUGCGGGUC
Molecule: long non-coding RNA, 288 nt
Filed under: Citrus sinensis (sweet orange)
Lineage: Eukaryota; Viridiplantae; Streptophyta; Magnoliopsida; Sapindales; Rutaceae
Description: long non-coding RNA (CSIN_LNC000675)
Source: RNAcentral